RNAcentral lists this transfer RNA (74 nucleotides) under Ulva fasciata. Its description in RNAcentral is "tRNA-Leu". The record is from RNAcentral. Lineage: Eukaryota; Viridiplantae; Chlorophyta; Ulvophyceae; Ulvales; Ulvaceae.
GAUUUUAGGAUUAAGAUUAAAAAAAAAAAAUUAAGCUUAAUUUUUUAAAAAGGAUUAAAACUCCUUUUAAAUCA